RNAcentral lists this ribosomal RNA (301 nucleotides) under uncultured bacterium. RNAcentral describes it as "partial 16S ribosomal RNA". It matches the Rfam family "Bacterial small subunit ribosomal RNA", at positions 509 to 807 of the family's 1533-position model. The record is from RNAcentral.
CAGUAGCCACGGUAAUACGAAGGGUGCAAGCGUUAAUCGGAAUUACUGGGCGUAAAGCGUGCGUAUGCGGUGAGUUAAGUCUGCUGUGAAAUCCCCGGGCUCAACCUGGGAAUGGCAGUGGAUACUGGCUCGCUAGAGUGUGUCAGAGGAUGGUGGAAUUCCCGGUGUAGCAGUGAAAUGCGUAGAUAUGUGGAGGAAUACCGAUGGCGAAGACAGCCCCCUGGGAUAACACUGACGCUCAUGCACGAAAGCGUGGGGAGCAAACAGGAUCAGAUACCCGCGUAGUCCCUGUCUCUUAUAC